RNAcentral lists this long non-coding RNA (2158 nucleotides) under Limulus polyphemus (Atlantic horseshoe crab). RNAcentral's name for it is "uncharacterized LOC111083540". Lineage: Eukaryota; Metazoa; Arthropoda; Merostomata; Xiphosura; Limulidae. The record is from RNAcentral.
AAUAUUUUAGUGGUGUCUUUUAAACGUUGCUUUUAUUUAGGGUCGACAUAUUUUGAAGGAAGAUUUGACAGCCUGUCCACAGUGUCAGUUUCCUGCCUUAUACUCAGAAUUUGUUAAACUACUAGAUACAGAAGAAUGUUGUCCCAUGUGUAAAGAUAAAGUCAAGACUGAGAACCUGACAAAGAUUGAAGACAUCAGACCUUUCCUGCAGACAGAAGGAGAAGAUUAACUUGUGUGUGUGUGGUUAAAAUGUUUUUCCUAUCAGAGUUGUGUUUUUCUCAUCAUUUUUGAACACAUUGCAGAGAAAAUAUGCUGUGUAAUAUAAUGAUUGUCAUACUCAUUUUAACCCCAUUAUUUUUUGUGACGAAGCAGUGUUAAGUUGUAAGAUGUUGUUAAAAUGUAUCAUUUUUCCAUUUUAUUUUUGGAUUCAUUUAAAAACAUUUUUCAUGUUCUAUAAGUUUCACAUUUACAUUGAUUUUAUCAUUAUUUCAUGAAUAAAAGAUUUUCUUCCUUUUCAGCACAAUAAACUAUCCAACUUUUACCUAACUAUAGACAAUGUAAACGUCAGUAUAAUAUUGUACUGUGGUGGUGAGUAGUAUACGUGUGAACUGUUAACCAUCAGACUGAACACCUUUAAGUUAAACACAGAUUAUCGGCUGAGGAUUUUCUUAAUUGUUUUGAUUCUUGCUCUAGUAGGUUUUCAAACAGUCCAUCUAACAUAUCUGUACGUAGAUUUAUUUACUGUAAAGACUUGCUUUAAAACUGUAAUGUUUUUAUAUCAGCUCUUUAAUUAUCUAACGUUUAUUAAUGUGAGGACUUCUCAUACAAAUAUUAUUGUCUUAAAAUCUUGAAUUUACUCAUUGUUCAAACUUUCAAGACUCUAUUUCUUAAACAUUACAGAUAAACUGAAGUUAAAACUUAUAUUAUGCAUCUAAACUAGUUAAUUACUGAUAUAUUAUGCAGGAAAUUUUGUUUUCUUGUAUAUAUAUUGUGUGGUAGCUGUUAUUAUGUAUAAUGCAGAACAGUGUUUUGGUACAGUGGUUCCAUCCUUUCUCUAACUAAGAAACGGGUCCCCAAAUUUCACAAACUGACUCGUACAGUACUAACUUUGUAAAGUCACAAAGUAAAACAACAUAUUUCAAUAUCUAACUGUAUUUUACAACACGUUUUGUCAUCUGUCUUGCUGAUCAGCUGAAAUUUCCCUGUCGACCAUGGUUGGGAGCCACUGUUCAGUAUAUGCUCUUGUCUUUUGUUAUGGUGACGGAAAUUAAAAUGGCUUCCUUAAAUUUAGCUUGAUAUUGAGAACAUAAUAAAACAAACUGUUACAAUGGCAUUUUAAAAUCUCAAAAUACAAAAAAAAUUAAAUUUACUGGAAAGAGAAAAAUAAUUAUGUGGUCAUUGUUUUGACCAAAUGACAUGUAUUAAAAGUUGUAAUCUACCUUUUAAAUACAUAGCAAAAGUUAACACUAGCUUUUUGAAUCUUCUAAUACUCUUUUUAUUGGCCUCCUUUACAUAGGUCAUUUGGGCAGUGUUGACCACAUAAUUAUUACAACUUUUUCCUACUUAUUGUGUGUCAGAAACGUAAUUUAUUCGGACAUGGUUGUAUACUAUUACCAAAACAUGUGCUUCAAAAAUGAGGGAUUUAAUUAGCUGAAUAGAAAAAGACUGAAAUCUGAUUGAUAACUAGCUUAAAAGACUGAAAUCUGAUUGAUAACUAGCUUAAAAGACUGAAAUCUGAUUGAUAACUAGCUUAAAAGACUGAAAUUUGAUUGAUAGCUAGCUUAAAAGACUGAAAUCUGAUUGAUAACUAGCUUAAAAGACUGAAAUCUGAUUGAUAACUAGCUUAAAAGACUGAAAUCUGAUUGAUAAUUAGCUUAAAAGACUGAAAUCUGAGUAAUAAUCUAGCUUAGGGGACUGAAAUCUGAGUAAUAAUCUAGCUUAGGGGACUAAAAUCUGAGUAAUAAUCUAAUUUAAAAGACUGAAAUCUGAGUAAAAAUCUAGCUUAGGGGACUAAAAUCUGAGUAAUAAUCUAGCUUAGGGGACUAAAAUCAGAGUAAUAAUGUAGCUUAGGGGACUAAAAUCUGAGUAAUAAUCUAAUUUAAAAGACUGAAAUCUGAGUAAUAAGCUAGCUUAGGGGACUAAAAUCUGAGUAAUAAUC